GGUGCCCAGGCGCGAAAACUUUGCCAUACACGAAAGUGUGACAGGGUCAUCCCGAGUGCCGACCGCUGAGGUUGGCUUUUACCCAGUCUAGAAAGCUGGGGGAAUAAAGAGAGGGCAAGUCUGGUGUCAGCCGCCGCGGUAAUACCAGCUCUCCGAGUGGUGUGGACGUUUAUUGGGCCUAAAGCAUCCGUAGCUGGCUGAACAAGUCCCCUGUUAAACCCACCGAUUUAAUCGUUGGUCUGCGGGGGAUACUGCUCGGCUAGGGGACGAGAGAGGCAGACGGUAUUCCCGGGGUAGGGGUGAAAUCCUAUAAUCCCGAGAAGACCACCAGUGGCGAAGGCUGUCUGCUAGAACGCGCCCGACGGUGAGGGAUGAAAGCUGGGGGAGCGAACCGGAUUAGAUACCCGGGUAGUCCCAGCUGUAAACGAUGCAGACUAGGUGUUUGGACGGCCACGUGCCGUUCUAGUGCCGCAGGGAAGCUGUUAAGUCUGCCGCCUGGGGAGUACGAUCGCAAGAUUGAAACUUAAAGGAAUUGGCGGGGGAGCAC
Molecule: ribosomal RNA, 547 nt
Filed under: uncultured archaeon
Lineage: Archaea
Description: bacterial SSU rRNA
Rfam family: Archaeal small subunit ribosomal RNA
Source: RNAcentral